GUAGGCAGCGAGCGUUGUUCGGAGUUACUGGGCGUAAAGAGUGCGUAGGCGGUGACCUAAGUCUGGUGUGAAAUCUCCCGGCUCAACUGGGAGGGUGCGCCGGAAACUGGGUUGCUAGAGUGUGGGAGAGGCUAGCGGAAUUCCUGGUGUAGCGGUGAAAUGCGUAGAUAUCAGGAGGAACACCUGCGGUGUAGACGGCUGGCUGGACCACUACUGACGCUGAGGCACGAAAGCGUGGGGAGCAAACAGGAUUAGAUACCCUGGUAGUCCACGCCCUAAACGAUGCAUACUUGGUGUGGGCAGUUCAUUCUGUCUGUGCCGGAGCUAACGCGUUAAAUAUGCCGCCUGGGGAGUACAGUCGCAAGGCUG
RNAcentral lists this ribosomal RNA (369 nucleotides) under uncultured bacterium. RNAcentral's name for it is "bacterial SSU rRNA". It matches the Rfam family "Bacterial small subunit ribosomal RNA", at positions 527 to 896 of the family's 1533-position model. The record is from RNAcentral.